This 532-nucleotide ribosomal RNA is filed under the name uncultured fungus. RNAcentral describes it as "SSU rRNA". It matches the Rfam family "Eukaryotic small subunit ribosomal RNA", at positions 109 to 644 of the family's 1831-position model. The record is from RNAcentral. Lineage: Eukaryota; Fungi.
GUUAUCGUUUAUUUGAUAGUACCUUACUACUUGGAUAACCGUGGUAAUUCUAGAGUUAAUACAUGCUGAAAACCCCAACUUCGGGAGGGGUGUAUUUAUUAGAUAAAAAACCAACGCCCUUCGGGGCUUCUUGGUGAUUCAUGAUAACUUCACGGAUCGCAUGGCCUUGCGCCGGCGACGGUUCAUUCAAAUUUCUGCCCUAUCAACUUUCGAUGGUAAGGUAUUGGCUUACCAUGGUUUCAACGGGUAACGGGGAAUUAGGGUUCGAUUCCGGAGAGGGAGCCUGAGAAACGGCUACCACAUCCAAGGAAGGCAGCAGGCGCGCAAAUUACCCAAUCCCGACACGGGGAGGUAGUGACAAUAAAUACUGAUACAGGGCUCUUUUGGGUCUUGUAAUUGGAAUGAGUACAAUUUAAACCUCUUAACGAGGAACAAUUGGAGGGCAAGUCUGGUGCCAGCAGCCGCGGUAAUUCCAGCUCCAAUAGCGUAUAUUAAAGUUGUUGCAGUUAAAAAGCUCGUAGUUGAAACUUGG